This is a non-coding RNA of Phthorimaea operculella (potato tuberworm), 76 nucleotides long. The record is from the annotation of a GenBank genome assembly. Lineage: Eukaryota; Metazoa; Arthropoda; Insecta; Lepidoptera; Gelechiidae.
ACCGCGUUAACCCAGUUGGUAGUGGCGUCGGCAGUACAGAUGCCCAAGGUCGCGGGUACAAAUCCCGCCUGCGGUC